Molecule: ribosomal RNA, 234 nt
Filed under: uncultured bacterium
Lineage: Bacteria
Description: partial 16S ribosomal RNA
Rfam family: Bacterial small subunit ribosomal RNA
Source: RNAcentral
GAUCCUGGCUCAGGACGAACGCUGGCGGCGUGCUUAACACAUGCAAGUCGAACGAAGAGCGAUGGAAGCUUGCUUCUAUCAAUCUUAGUGGCGAACGGGUGAGUAACGCGUAAUCAACCUGCCCCUUCAGAGGGGGACAACAGUUGGAAACGACUGCUAAUACCGCAUACGAUCUAACGUCGGCAUCGAGGAUAGAUGAAAGGUGGCCUCUACAUGUAAGCUAUCACUGAAGGG